This 460-nucleotide ribosomal RNA is filed under the name uncultured bacterium. RNAcentral's name for it is "partial 16S ribosomal RNA". It matches the Rfam family "Bacterial small subunit ribosomal RNA", at positions 338 to 795 of the family's 1533-position model. The record is from RNAcentral.
CCUACGGGCGGCAGCAGUGAGGAAUAUUGGUCAAUGGACGCAAGUCUGAACCAGCCAUGCCGCGUGCAGGAAGACGGCUCUAUGAGUUGUAAACUUCUUUUGUACGAGAGUAAACGCAGAUACGCGUAUCUGUCUGAAAGUAUCGUACGAAUAAGGAUCGGCUAACUCCGUGCCAGCAGCCGCGGUAAUACGGAGGAUUCAAGCGUUAUCCGGAUUUAUUGGGUUUAAAGGGUGCGUAGGCGGUCGGUUAAGUUAGUGGUGAAAUCCCGAGGCUCAACUUCGGAAUUGCAUUUGAUACUGGUAGUCUAGAGUGUAGUAGCGGUAGGCGGAAUGUAUGGUGUAGCGGUGAAAUGCUUAGAGAUCAUACAGAACACCGAUUGCGAAGGCAGCUUACCAAUCUAUAUCUGACGUUGAGGCACGAAAGCGUGGGGAGCAAACAGGAUUAGAUACCCGAGUAGUC